GCAGUGGUAGCACAACUGGAGAGUGCACCGGGCAAUCCGGAAGCAUGUGUGGUUCAAGUCCCACCCGCUGCC
This 72-nucleotide transfer RNA is filed under the name Sphingomonas sp. Its description in RNAcentral is "tRNA-Leu". It matches the Rfam family "tRNA". Rfam says of the family: Transfer RNA (tRNA) molecules are approximately 80 nucleotides in length. Their secondary structure includes four short double-helical elements and three loops (D, anti-codon, and T loops). The record is from RNAcentral. Lineage: Bacteria; Pseudomonadati; Pseudomonadota; Alphaproteobacteria; Sphingomonadales; Sphingomonadaceae.